UCUGGUUGAUCCUGCCAGAGGUCACUGCUAUCGGGGUUCGAUUAAGCCAUGCGAGUCGAGAGGGUUCGGCCCUCGGCGUACUGCUCAGUAACACGUGGAUAACCUGCCCUAAGGAAGGGGAUAACCCCGGGAAACUGGGAAUAAUACCCUAUAGGUUACAGAUGCUGGAAUGCUCUGUAACUCAAAGUUCAGGCGCCUUAGGAUGGAUCUGCGGCCGAUUAGGUUGUUGUUGGGGUAACGGCCCAACAAGCCAGUAAUCGGUACGGGUUGUGGGAGCAAGAGCCCGGAGUUGGAUUCUGAGACACGAAUCCAGGCCCUACGGGGCGCAGCAGGCGCGAAAACUUUACAAUGCGGGCAACCGUGAUAAGGGAACCUCGAGUGCCUGUAUAUGCAGGCUGUCCAGGUGUCUAAAACACACCUGAAGAAAGGGCCGGGCAAGACCGGUGCCAGCCGCCGCGGUAAUACCGGCGGCUCGAGUGGUGGCCACUUUUAUUGGGCUUAAAGCGUUCGUAGCUGGGUUGUUAAGUCUCUUGGGAAAUCCGGCGGCUCAACCGUCGGGCGUCUAAGAGAUACUGGCAGUCUUGGAACCGGGAGAGGUGAGGGGUACUUCGGGGGUAGGAGUGAAAUCCUGUAAUCCUCGAGGGACCACCUGUGGCGAAGGCGCCUCACCAGAACGGCUUCGACAGUGAGGGACGAAAGCUGGGGGAGCAAACCGGAUUAGAUACCCGGGUAGUCCCAGCCGUAAACGAUGUGCGUUAGGUGUAUCGACGACCACGAGUCGUCGAGGUGCCGAAGGGAAACCGUGAAACGUACCGCCUGGGAAGUACGGUCGCAAGGCUGAAACUUAAAGGAAUUGGCGGGGGAGCACCACAACAGGUGGAGCCUGCGGUUUAAUUGGACUCAACGCCGGGAAUCUCACCGGAUAAGACAGCGGAAUGAUUGCCGGGCUGAAGACUCUGCAUGACUAGCUGAGAGGAGGUGCAUGGCCGUCGUCAGUUCGUACUGUGAAGCAUCCUGUUAAGUCAGGCAACGAGCGAGACCC
This 1042-nucleotide ribosomal RNA is filed under the name uncultured euryarchaeote. Its description in RNAcentral is "bacterial SSU rRNA". It matches the Rfam family "Archaeal small subunit ribosomal RNA", at positions 1 to 1053 of the family's 1478-position model. Lineage: Archaea; Methanobacteriati; Methanobacteriota. The record is from RNAcentral.